RNAcentral lists this long non-coding RNA (6030 nucleotides) under Homo sapiens (human). RNAcentral describes it as "non-protein coding LINC01058:4". The record is from RNAcentral. Lineage: Eukaryota; Metazoa; Chordata; Mammalia; Primates; Hominidae.
GCGGCGCUCGCGAAACCCGAAGACUUGCAGGUAGCCAGGCGCUCCCACUCGUCCAACAGCUCCCGGGCUGGCUUGGGAGAAACUAAGGAACUUGCUUCGCCCCCCCGCCGCUCCCUGGGGCCGCUCGCCACCCGCGGAACUUGCCAUCCCCGCUCUUCCCCACUUUCUACCCCCACCUCCGCCCGCCCCACCUUCCCCUUUCCCCGCUUUCCCCUCUCCCACCUCCUCCUUCUCUCCCCUCCCACAUCCCCGGUCUCCCACUUCCCCCUCCUUCCCGACCCACCUCUCCCUCCUCCCCGCCCCACCUCUCCCUCCUCCCCGCCCCACCUCUCCCUCCUCCCCUUCCUCCUCCUCCCCCCCGCUCCUCUCCUUACCACCUCCUCCGCCCUCCCCCACCUCCUCCCCGGUCCCUUCUCCACCCCCUCUUUCCCCACUCCGCUCCCCGGGCGGCGGGCGGCUCCCUGGCUCCGGCGUGUACAGAUUUGGGCAGAAUGUGGUUCCAAGGCUCUCGGUCAAGAAUUCGGAGGAGGAAAGUUUGCUGGCGGCGCCGCGGCUCACACCACUCCCCGCCCUGGGGGCGGUCCUCGAGGCCGGGCCCCGCCGCCCGUGCUUCCCUUCCCGGAGCCUUCGCUCUUCCCCGGGAAGGCCCGGCCUUACAUAAGGGCCCGUGCGCCCGCCCCAGCCCUGUGGGCAGCGCGCUCUUGCUCUGCUCAGUUUAACGAAGAUUCUGCUCCUGAAACUUAGUACAGAUAAAAAGGGCAGCGGUCCGUUUCAUUUUAGACAGGAAAAUGAGGGCGCAAAAGGGGACUGAGGGAGAGAGGCCAGAGAACAAGACAGCAGGUUCGUGCUGGUGGCAGGUGGAUGGGUAGAAGGUUCCUUGAGAGCGGAAUUUCCUAUUUGGAUGCCUGUGCAGAGGGAAGUGGCUGUAAAGAUCAAGUAGCUUUGAUAACGCCAAGGUAGCCUGGACAACAGAAGCCCAGGGAAGGAAAGGGGGCGGGACUUAUGCUGCCAGAAAGGAUGAUCACUAUCCGGAUCUUCAGUAGGACCCGCGCCUCAGCGAGGGCGCGUGUAGAGGAGAUGUGGGUAUGGGCCAUGUGCAGGGAGCAUAAUGCCUGCGUCUCCAGCGCAGGCCUGGCAUACAACAGGCACACCAUAAACAGCUAACACGUGGGCACUGUGCUAAAACUUUGCCAACUUGGUUGCAUUUAAUCCUUAGAACAAUUGAGCCCUCCUUACUCCCAUUUUACACACGGGAGACUGAGACCUGGAUGGGCUAAGUGACUUGGCCAUGACCACACAGCUCUUUGCAGCCGACCGAGGACUCAAACCUUGGACUCCAAAACUCAUGCUAUGGGACAACUUCGUAUUUGGGAGGCGUAAUACAAAAGGGUUCAGCUUUGGGGCAGAGUGAAGGGGCACCGCGUUUCGAAGAUGGGCAGGUAGGCUUGCAGCAGGUGGAUAUGUAUGUUCCCACAGUUCUCUCACACUCACAUUUCACCAUGGACACAGCAGAGCUUUACCCCUCAGGACGUUACUGAGGCGGUUCAUUAGCCCGAGUUUCUGAAUUCCUCUACUUCCUCCACAGUGGGUACUUGAGGAGCUGUUGUCUCUGGUUAACCCAAGUCUCCUUGUGGCUCUUUAGGGAAAUUCCCUGUGCCCAAGACUGGUAUCCAUGUGCAGAGUUACUGGACUAUCCAACGGGAUUAAAAACAAUUCCCCAAAUUCCCAUUCUUCUGGGAAUUCGUGGGAUUCCUGGCCCACACAAUAUUUUAUAAGGGGCCUAACCUGGAGCCUAAGGAUGUGGGUGUGCAGGAGUAAUGAUGAUGGGACAUUCUUAGUCUAGCGUGAAUGUGUGUCCCUUUGCUGCUUCUCCCCAGCAACUAUGAAACACCUGAUACUGUUAGGCCCCUCCGAUAGUUUCUUUUUAAACGGUUUUGAGAUCCCACUAAGGAUGUUUUUUUUUGCUUCAGUUGCUAUUUUUACUACCGCUUAACAUCCACACACUCAUACGAACCCAGAAGACACCCUAAUCCCCCCCAAAAGUGAGAGAAAGAUUUGACAUCCCAGCCUGCUAAGGAAGUCAGUGGGAAGCCUGGUUUUCAAAUCAAAUGUCUACACAUGUUCCAAUAGAGUACAGAGAAAAUCGGUGUUUAAGAGCCCAUGUGGUGGGAUAAUACCUUAGGGUGCUAUCUGAUAGUUCAUUUAUUUCUAAACCUAGUGUAGCUGCCAUAUUGAUAAUUAAAUAUCCCAUAGGAGCUCUAGGAGGGUCUCCUCGUGUUAUCCCUUCUCCUUUUUUUUUAGGGUAAGAACUGAAGCCACCAAAAGGCUUACUAUACCACACAACACCCAAGCCUUCCUUUGGGGCAUGGGGACAGUGGAUCUAUGGCUCCUCAGGGUGCCAACCAAUUGAAGAAGGAAGCCAGCUCCACUCAACAGCUUCUACAAAGGAAGGGCCACAGGAGAGGGGCUUCAGUGGUUCCAGGCAGCUGCUUCAUUCACAACAGAAUGGCCAUUUUCUCCAGCAUGGCCAACUAUCCCUAGUCUUUUUGUCAUGACAGCCUAGAAGGCAGAAGCUAGGGCCAAGGCGGCUGCUAAGGAAUUCCUACUCCUACUGGGGCCUAAUGUCAGGCUUUCCUUAUAUUGUGGAGUGGGCCCUGGAAGAUAGUUAGAGACCCUUCCUGCUGGGCACCCUGAAGAGGAGCAAGAGGAUCUGGUGAGCAAAAUGAAGCAAAAGUGCAGUGCUGGAGCUGACAGCCCUGUUCCCUACUGCACGCAGUUGGCUCAGGGCUGUCCCCCACUUUGGAGCUUCUUGCCACUCACGGGCUACCCUGCACACACUACUUACUGCCCAGGCCUGUCUGCCACCACAGUACCCUGUGCCUGAGACCUUUCCUGGCCUCUGCUGGAUCCCAGGCCUAGUAUCAUUCCUAGGGACUCCAGAGGCAAGUCCAGGCUAAUAUGCUCUGGGAAAACAAUGUACAAUGUACAUGUUUGCCUUUUGACGUAGAUAAAUGAUACCUGGAUCCCAGGUCUGGCUCUGGGGCAGGGGAGCUUCAGGCCUGGCUAUGGCAGAACACUGAAGGAGGUACUUUGGGUUUUCACAACCUCUUAAAUCAUCUCAGAGAGAGAGUGAACAACUUACUUUCACAUGCACAAGCUGCCGCUGGCUCUGUCACAAGAAGAUGGACUACAAGUAAUAAAAUCAAGAUGAAGUUCUGUGUACAUCUUUCCAGCUUACAAGAAUUGUAGAAAGUUGAAGAUGAAAGGGAUAUUAAAGAGCAUCUCAUUCUACCUCCUCAUUUUGCAGCUGUAAGAACCGAGGCCCAGGGAGGGGGACUGGGGAAGCCACCAUCACACAGCUGCUCCGUGGCAGGAGUUGUGCUAACUUUCUGUGGCUGUUGCCAUUACACCCAGCAUCUUUUGACUUUUGAAAACAGCGAAGGAGAAAUCAGUCCUCCCAGCAUCUUCACCUCCCACGACGUUUAUUGUUUCCAGCUGUUAAAAAUUGGCCCUUUAAAAAUGGGUCGUCUUGCCAGUCAUUGAGGGUCACCGCGGUGGGGAGUGCUGAUUUAGAGGGCGGCAGAACAGGGAGGUGAUUGGAGGCAUAAUUGCCAGUCUCCUCCUUGGCACCUGGGGAUUUCUGUCAUUCAAGUCUCAGGGUGUGUGCCCUCAGCAAAUACUAACCCACAGAGUCAAUUGCUAACUGCAGUCAUCUGUGCAUUUGCCCUCUGGGGAUGGAAAGCCAUAAGAAAUGCCAUUUCCUAAUCUAGUUGGCCUUGGAUGAGAAGAUGUUUUUGCCUAAUGGAAGCCUUUGGAGAGUGAAUAAUGUGAAUAAUGUGUAUUUAGGACCUACAGUGCUCCCCAGGAUGCUGUAAGGGACCUGGUUAUAAAGAAAAAAACCUCACUGAUGGUCUUGGCUUUGUCCUUGUCUGAGUUAAGUCCUUUUGGUUGGAAGUAAUCAACUUGAGCUGACGUAAGCAUUAAGGGACAUAGAAGAGUAUAGCAGUAUCUCAUGAAGUCCAAGGGCAGAUGGCCUCAAGGUAGCCCGAGAAGCUGCUAGGAACCUAGACAGUCCACCUUCUCCAGCUUUCUUCUCUGCUUCGUGUCUCCCUCUGCAAUCCACUUUCUUCUCUGUGAGUAGCUGGGCAGAGGAUAAUCCCUCAACAACUAUCACAUCUACAUCUUCUCUCCUAAAGAGAUUAGCCAAAGGUGAGUGGCUGUCCUCAGUCCAAUACCAGAUUCCUGGGAGAGGGAAUUUGGUUGUCCCAGCCUGGGUCAGGUGCACAGCUUGAUCCAAUCAGGUGUGCCCAGGAGAGGGUGCCCUGAGACAGGCACAUCUGGGGACACUCAUCCUCAUGAAUGACCGGACAGUUCUCCAGGAAAGAAGAGAGAAGAGUGGAGGUCAGACAUUUCAAAUGUAUAUUAUAGGCAUCAAAUUAGUUACUGAUACAGAAAAAUGGCAAUGUCUAAGUAGGGGGCUUGAGAAACAGUUCAAACACUGUAUAGAUUUUGAUUAUUUGCUUAACUUCCAGGAUGAUAAAUUGUCUAUUAUGGAGCUGUAUUUUUUUUUUGGAGACAGAGUCUUGCUGUUUGGCUGGAGUGCAGUGGCGUGAUCUCGGCUCACCACAACCUCCACCUCCAGGUUCAAGCAAUUCUCCUGCCUCAGCCUCCCGAGUAGCUGGGAUUACAGGUGCCCACCACCAGCCCUGGCUAAUUUUUGUAUUUUUAGUAGAAACGGGGUUUCACCAUGUUGGCCAGGCUGGUCUAGAACUCCUGACCUCAAGUGAUCCGCCCUUCUCGGCCUCCCAAAGUGCCAGGAUUACAGGCGUGAGCCACCAUGCCCAGGUGGAGCUGAAUUUUUUUUUUUUUUUUUGAGGUGGGAGGAUGGAGUCUCGCUUUUUCGCCCAGGCUGGAGUGCAAUGGCACGAUCUUGGCUCACUGCAACCUCCGCCUCCCAGGUCCAAGCAAUUCUUCUGCCUCAGCCUCCCCAGUAGCUGGGAUUACAGGCAUGUGCCACCACACCCGGGUAAUUUUUGUAUUUUUAGUAGAGACAAGGUUUCACCAUGUUGGCCAGGCUGGUCUCGAACUCCUGACCUCAAGUGAUCCACCCAUCGCAGCCUCCCAAAGUGCUAGGAUUACAGGCAUGAGCCACCGCGCCCAGCCAAUCUUUUUAUAUAGUAGAUUUCUUGCAAUGUAACCCCUAUCCUCUGGGCUUUGUGUAAAAAGUGCAUUCAGACAAUCUGAGGAGUGUCUUAAUUUUUUGUGUGACUAUCAUAUAUAUUUUCAUCCUGUUGAGGUGUGUUUGCUAGGUGGAUAUUGAACAUGAAAUCAAAGUAUAAUUUUAAACUUGUGUUGAAAUAUAUGUGUAUAAGCAUAUGUGCACAAUUACCUAUAUUGUCAAACACCCAACCUGCUUUCCAAAGGAUUUGAAGCAAGGUCUAAUAAAAACACAGAAAAAGUAUGGCCAAGAGCUGUAAACACCAAAAAAAGAAGUAAAGGGCAAGUCGCAAACAGACUGCAGUUGAGCAAAGCUGCAAAGGACUAUAAUACCAGGCCUGAAGUGGUUGCUAAAUGUAGCUCUGAGCUUUCUGACAUUCAAAGCCAAAAAUAGGUAUAUUUUAUUAUUUAAACAGUGUCUACUCUGAGGUCCUCAAAACUCUUUCAGGGGGCCCACAGAUCAAAACUAUUUUCAUAAUAACACCAAGACAUUGUUUGCAUCUUUCAUUGUCAUUCUCUUAGGAGUGUACAGUGGAGUUUUCCAGAAGGCAUAUGCCAUGUGCAUCACCACAGCUUAAAUGCAGAAACAGACAUGAGGAUCUAGCUGUGUCCUACUAAGCCAGACAUUCAGGACAUCUAAAAGUGUAAAACAAUGCCACUCUUCUCACUAACUUUUUUGUUUUGGAAAAUAUAUCUUUCAUAAAAUAUUGAUUAUGUUGAUAUAUUACGGGUUUGUUGUUAUUAUUUUAAAUGAAUUAAUAAAUAAUUUUCUGAUUUAAUUUCUAUUACUGUAAAUAUUGAUGGAUAUAUCCU